RNAcentral lists this ribosomal RNA (385 nucleotides) under uncultured bacterium. Its description in RNAcentral is "bacterial SSU rRNA". It matches the Rfam family "Bacterial small subunit ribosomal RNA", at positions 30 to 417 of the family's 1533-position model. The record is from RNAcentral.
AUUGAACGCUGGCGGCAUGCCUUACACAUGCAAGUCGAACGGUAACGGGCCUUCGGGUGCCGACGAGUGGCGAACGGGUGAGUAAUGCAUCGGAACGUACCUUUCAGUGGGGGAUAACGUAGCGAAAGUUACGCUAAUACCGCAUAUUCUGUGAGCAGGAAAGCAGGGGAUCGCAAGACCUUGCGCUGAUUGAGCGGCCGAUGUCAGAUUAGCUAGUUGGUGAGGUAAAGGCUCACCAAGGCGACGAUCUGUAGCGGGUCUGAGAGGAUGAUCCGCCACACUGGAACUGAGACACGGUCCAGACUCCUACGGGAGGCAGCAGUGGGGAAUUUUGGACAAUGGGCGCAAGCCUGAUCCAGCCAUUCCGCGUGCAGGAUGAAGGCCU